GACGAACGCUGGCGGCGUGCUUAACACAUGCAAGUCGAACGGAAAGGCCCUGCUUUUGUGGGGUGCUCGAGUGGCGAACGGGUGAGUAACACGUGAGUAACCUGCCCUUGUCUUUGGGAUAACUUCAGGAAACUGGGGCUAAUACCGGAUAGGAGCUCCUGCUGCAUGGUGGGGGGUGGAAAGUUUCGGCGGUUGUGGAUGGUCUCGCGGCUGAUGAGCUUGUUGGUGGGGUAGUGGCUUACCAAGGGUUUGACGGGUAGCCGGCCUGGGAGGGUGGCCGGCGACAUAGGGCCUAGGAUACGGCGCAGGCUCGUAGGGGAGACAAUAGUGGGGAGUGUGGAACAAUGAGGGGGAGCCGGAGGGAGAGGCGUUGCGUGCGGGAUGCCGGCCUUCGGGUUGGAAACCGCUUUAGCCUGAGACGUGGCGGUAGUGACGGUAGUGGGUAAAGAAGCACCGGCUAACUACGUG
This 468-nucleotide ribosomal RNA is filed under the name uncultured bacterium. RNAcentral's name for it is "partial 16S ribosomal RNA". It matches the Rfam family "Bacterial small subunit ribosomal RNA", at positions 28 to 507 of the family's 1533-position model. The record is from RNAcentral.